GAUGAAGAACGUAGCGAAAUGCGAUACGUAAUGUGAAUUGCAGAAUUCAGUGAAUCAUCGAGUCUUUGAACGCACAUUGCGCCCCCUGGUAUUCCGGGGGGCAUGCCUGUCCGAGCGUCAUUGCUGCCCUCAAGCACGGCUUGUGUGUUGGGCCUCCGUCCUCCUCCCGGGGGACGGGCCCGAAAGGCAGCGGCGGCACCGCGUCCGGUCCUCGAGCGUAUGGGGCUUCGUCACCCGCUCUUGUAGGCCCGGCCGGCGCUUGCCGACACAUCAAUCUUUUUUCCAGGUUGACCUCGGAUCAGGUAGGACUACCCGCUGAACUUAAGCAUAUCAAUAAGCGGAGG
RNAcentral lists this unclassified non-coding RNA (344 nucleotides) under soil metagenome. Its description in RNAcentral is "partial contains 5.8S ribosomal RNA, internal transcribed spacer 2, and large subunit ribosomal RNA". The stretch from base 1 to 120 matches the Rfam family "5.8S ribosomal RNA", at positions 35 to 154 of the family's 154-position model. The record is from RNAcentral.